UACAGAGGGUGCGAGCGUUAUUCGGAAUUACUGGGCGUAAAGCGUGCGUAGACGGUUAUGUAAGUCGGGUGUGAAAGCCCCGGGCUCAACCUGGGAAUUGCAUUCGAGACUGCAUAGCUAGGAUGCGGAAGAGGGAAGUGGAAUUUCCGGUGUAGCGGUGAAAUGCGUAGAUAUCGGAAGGAACAUCAGUGGCGAAAGCGACUUCCUGGUCCAGCAUCGACGUUCAGGCACGAAAGCGUGGGGAGCAAACAGG
RNAcentral lists this ribosomal RNA (253 nucleotides) under uncultured bacterium. RNAcentral describes it as "partial 16S ribosomal RNA". It matches the Rfam family "Bacterial small subunit ribosomal RNA", at positions 524 to 776 of the family's 1533-position model. The record is from RNAcentral.